Nerophis lumbriciformis (worm pipefish) is the source of this 1009-nucleotide long non-coding RNA. RefSeq lists it as uncharacterized. NCBI's taxonomy places the organism in Eukaryota, Metazoa, Chordata, Actinopteri, Syngnathiformes, Syngnathidae. The record is from RefSeq and is a predicted model, not a curated record.
GAAUUAUCCCCUAUAUGGAUAGAUCCCUUUCUGACAGUCUUCAGUGCUUUAUGACAUGCAUUGCCUUUUUAAUUGUAGGCAUGCCUAGUUAUGUAUUAGGUAAUCACACUUGUCUAACCCAUUGAAGGCCUGUAGAUGCUGUGCAAAGUCCAAGCCCCACACUUUGGUGUGGUCCAAUGAAAAUGGAUAAUUCCUAUGGGCCUGCAUCUACUGUAACUUCUCAUUUAGUAGUAAUAUGGAGCAACACAAUACGACAACUUAGGUAGAAGUAAAGCAAACAGAGCUAAUACGAUUGUGGCUACUGGCAACUCAGAGUGUUCAGAUGAGGCCAUCCUCUUCUUCCUCAUUGAACGGUAAAAGCGUGAGUUCCUGCGAAUAGGCUCUCUGCUCAGGCCUACCUUGGAGUCAUCUUCAUCAUCAUCAUAGUCCUCAUCAUGGUUGGGUAGAACCACAGUGUUUGGAUGCUUGACAGGGCUUUCCUGGGAUUUUGUCCCCAACUUGCCCCUAAACAGGGCAGCCACAGACAUGACCAAUUUUCAGGCCCCUUUUGUUACGGCUCAGGCUCCUGCCAACGCCGCUCAUCCGUCUGUGCGCACCUCGGGACACGCCCACGGGUGCGCACAUCCAGGGACGCGCGCCACCCUGCAGCAGCCACCAGCUGCAAUCACUCGCUGGCAAUCUUCACACCUGGAACUGAUGAGGGCGAGCUGGUUAAAAGACCAGUGGACCCUAGGAUCGGCGCGGGAACUUAGUUUUCUCAUGGUGUACCUACCCUUCGUCACCUGGAAAGUGAGCUGUGCGUCUCACUUUUCCCUGGAUCUCCCUCUGGACUCUGACUGCCUCCUUCGUUCCUCGACCUCUUGCUCGCCCCUGGAUUCUGCCGUCUCUCUCUGCCCCCGGAUCAUCUGCCUGCCCCCUGGACUUCCUCAUAUCUCGUUCAACACGUUGGUAACACUCACUUCAGUUAAAUUCUACACAUAGUCUUACACCAUUCCCUUUUGGAUAUAGU